AACGAACGCUGGCGGCGUGCUUAACACAUGCAAGUCGUACGAGAAACCGGAACUUCGGUUCUGGGAGUAAAGUGGCGCACGGGUGAGUAACGCGUAGGUAAUCUACCCUUGGGUUUGGAGUAACCCGCCGAAAGGCGUGCUAAUACCGGAUAAAAUCUUUCGGAGGGAUCUGAAAGAUCAAAGGUGGCCUCUCCAUGGAUGCUACCGCCUGAGGAUGAGCCUGCGUCCCAUUAGCUUGUUGGUAGGGUAAUGGCCUACCAAGGCUACGAUGGGUAGCUGGUCUGAGAGGAUGAUCAGUCACACUGGAACUGGAACACGGUCCAGACUCCUACGGGAGGCAGCAGUGAGGAAUAUUGCGCAAUGGGGGAAACCCUGACGCAGCGACGCCGCGUGGGUGAAGAAGGCCUUCGGGUCGUAAAGCCCUGUCUAGAGGGAAGAAAUUCUCAAUGGAAUAAUACCCAUUGAGAUUGACGGUACCUCUGGAGGAAGCACCGGCUAACUCCGUGCCAGCAGCCGCGGUAAUACGGAGGGUGCGAGCGUUGUCCGGAAUUACUGGGCGUAAAGCGGGUGUAGGCGGUUUGUUAAGUCAGAUGUGAAAGCCCACGGCUCAACCGUGGAAGUGCAUCUGAAACUGGCAGACUUGAGUACCGGAGAGGGAGGUGGAAUUCCUGGUGUAGGGGUGAAAUCCGUAGAUAUCAGGAGGAACACCGGUGGCGAAGGCGACUUCCUGGACGGAUACUGACGCUGAGACCCGAAAGCGUGGGGAGCAAACAGGAUUAGAUACCCUGGUAGUCCACGCCCUAAACGAUGGGCACUAGGUGCAGGGGGUGUUGACCCCUCCUGUGCCGCAGCUAACGCAUUAAGUGCCCCGCCUGGGGAGUACGGCCGCAAGGUUGAAACUCAAAGGAAUUGACGGGG
This 918-nucleotide ribosomal RNA is filed under the name uncultured bacterium. RNAcentral describes it as "bacterial SSU rRNA". It matches the Rfam family "Bacterial small subunit ribosomal RNA", at positions 28 to 918 of the family's 1533-position model. The record is from RNAcentral.